This is a long non-coding RNA of Ooceraea biroi (clonal raider ant), 4392 nucleotides long. RefSeq lists it as uncharacterized. Lineage: Eukaryota; Metazoa; Arthropoda; Insecta; Hymenoptera; Formicidae. The record is from RefSeq and is a predicted model, not a curated record.
CUGCAACUGUCUAUUCAUACUGCCGUCUAGUGUUUCAUUUUGAAAACAGUUCUCCAUUCUGUCGUAUCUGAAAAUCCAUAAGAACUGAGUGUCAUGUGCAUAUCUAUACAUAUCCGUGCCUUAAAUUCAUAAGGAGCAUCUUGGGGAUGACGUAGGUUGCGCGUGUCACUAAUCUAAAUUUCAUGGCCAAUACUACGGAACGAUUUGCAACUUGGUGGAUGCGUGCCAAAAAUUAUGCGACUGAUAUCCAUCGUCAUUCUCUUCUAAUGAAGUGCUUCAAGAGAAAUUUUGCUGAAGGGAGUUGCUACUAUUCUUCAUUUGUAAGAGAUUUAUUUACAUUAGUUAGUUAGAUAUUCUUCAAAUUUCAACAAUUUUUCUGCAAGCUUUGUUGUUAAGAUUUUCUUAAAAGUUUCAUGUGCAAUGUUGUCGCAUCAUGUUUUUAUUGCGGGGGAAGAACUGCGCCAGGUGCUAUUUGUCAAAGUCGCGUGAAAAUUUGAGGCAUUAGUGGUCCGGUACGUAAUCUACCAGGAAGGCCAGUUAUAGCUUCGCGUGCCAUCAGGAACGGAAAUCUGAAUUAACGACUCGAUUGCGAAAUCGCGCGCCUAUCCGUACGCGUAUCGGGAUCAAAGAUUUCUCGCCAUGAUUGCUUUACCAUUGCUUUACUUUUGUUACAUAAUAAACCUGAUAUGUGCGAAUUCUGAGAGAAGUCAUACAGCAUACCUUAAUAGUCAAAAGUAUAUAUACAUAAUAAAUUACUAUAUAUUAAUUUUAUUAAUUUAUUACUAUAUUAAACUGUUAAUUUAUUAUAUCAGAAAGAGAAGGAAAUUCUCCGCAAUAUUGUAUUUAAAAAAUAUAUAUAUCGUAUUUGAAAAACCUGUUCCGAGUAUCGUGAUUCGAGCAGGAAGUUGAUGAUUAAAAGAAUUCUUGCAUUAUCUUUCGUAUCGCAGCGUAUUUCAUGUUAUCUUUUUUAGCGUUACACAGAAUCUCGCUACCAAACAUACGAGAGACGAGCAGUCUAUGUUCGCUUCGCAUUACAUCACAUUUAUUAUUACAAUUAACUCAUAACACAAUGCGUCAUUGCAUCAUUUUCACGGAAUUUUUAUUGAAUCUCUCUCUCUCUCUCUCUCUCUCUCUCUCUCUCUCUACGUCUCUCUACGAAUCUCUCAUAAUGGAAUUGCACUCCAUUAGUGUAACAAACGCAAUUCCAAGUAAAACGCGAGCAUGAAUUAUGAUAUUUAGCAUUACUCCAUAUUGACAAGUUUUUUUUGUUUUAAGACACCAAUGUAAUAGAAAUGUGUGAAACAUUUCAGGUAAAACGGAAAAUUUUCGCGAAGAGGAAGGAAUUUGCUUCCAUAAAAAUGGUCUCUCAUCAAACGUGCUUAUCCGUUGCAACUACAAUUUGCAAAAACGCGAGAAUUUUACUUCGUAUAUACGUGUAAUUUUACUUUACAUAUUUUAAUUUAUACAAAAUUUUAAUACACAAUUAAUGCACAUUUCUAUCUACAAAAAAUGCCUAUACCAGUCGCACAUCUAUCGAAGAUAUCGCACGUUGAUUUUAAUUAACAACACGAGAGCGAAGAAGGUAUGGGUUGCGUCCACGAGGAAGGGAGAGCAGAUGAGCGUUCGCAAGCCUCUUCUGGUUUAUAGGUGUUUUCUCGUUGUGCACGUGGCCGAGAUACUCCCGUAUUUUAUGCGUUUUCAAGGAGAUUCUAAAUAAAGCAAAUGGAAUUCGCAUUAGGUCAGUUCUACCCUGCGCAGCCUGCCAGAUGGUGACAUUGCUCCGUAUGAUGAUGAUAAGUACGCGCGUCUACAUGCUUCAAAAGUUUGCAAACAAUACACGUUAUAUAGAAGCGACCGACAUCCGCAAUACUGUUGCGAUUAAUCGCACAUAAAAUCGCGAAAAACAAAAUUUAAGUGAACCAGGAAUUGAAAUUCAUCUUGAUCAAACGAUUAACAUGAUGCAACAGUUAUCUAAUUCUUCGCAUUUAAUAUCAAGCUGAUCACGAUUUGAUAUAAUGAAACAAUACUCUUCAUUUGCUCUUGUGGAAGCGCUCCCCUCGAGACUAAUUAUCAGCCACGCCAGCGUGGAAUAUAUAAUUACUUUCAAACGGCGCCGCUACGUCUGAUAUUUCUCUCACUACAGCGCGUCUCUCGAGGUUGCAGCGCGCCAACUAACAUAUAUGCGCAAAGGAGAUAAUAACAUUUUUUAGCACUCAAUUAGGCGAAGCUCUGCAUCCCUGCGAGCUUUGCGAAUAUUGUAGCAAUGACGCAAUGAUACGCUUGCAUUAAAAAAACGCAUCUCCAAGCUGUUCCUUUAACUAGACAUACUCUGCGUUUAAAGAAACAAACAUUUAUUCGCACUGAUAAGUUCAAUUAAUGCCCGUGGCACGUCUCGGUAUUGCGUAAUUUUUAUUACAGUAAUAUAACGAUGUCCCUCCCAAUUUCAUCAUUAUUUUAUCAUCGCUUUACAUUUGUACGCUGCCUGUGUGAUAUCGGUGAUUCGACUUAAACGCACCAUUACGCUUUGUCGUAUCAUAAGCUUUACUUUCAAUAUCCAUUUAUUUGUUUGUGGUAAAUAUCGAUCGUUUACCUCGAGUACCAAGUCAAUGAUGCUUCAAGGAAUCAUCGUGUAGUACUUAAGAUAAGCGGUUUGGAGUAAAGCUUCAAAGCCAUUUACAAGUAACAUAAUACUCAUCGAAAUAUUAUCUGGAUUUCGAAAUGUGAUUUAGCAGAAGUUUACAUUGCACGUUGAAGUAUUAAACGUUCCAGUCUCGAAGUCACGAAGUGAGUCAUGUAAGUUGUUACAUUCCCAAGGAAAAUCCGUACUGGCGAAUACAAGGGUGACUCCGAUGAGGACACACGUGCUCGAGGCGCGGAGGACUUGUGUAGAAAAUCGAUCGACACACCUAUGAUUAAAUAACAAAGGGGAUAAUCUCUUCAAUGAGGCCAAGUAUCAUUUCGUCCCUUGCUUAUCUUUCUCUCUCUCCCUCUCUCUCCUUCGACCAUGGUGGGCGCUAUUGCGAUCGAUUCCACGAACUUCUUCCUAUAAUUGGUGUCUCUACGAAGACAGCGAGUAUGUAUCCGUACUUUUCGUGCUGUCUCAAAUCGAUAGUAGUUACCAUAUCAUUGGAUUACCAGUACAUUUUUUAAAAAGAGUUUUAUUUUAGUCUUUUUCCUCUAAACGGCCGCAACAGGUAACAAAUGGGCAUUUUGAAGAAGAAGGGAUCGCCAAUCGGCUCGACGGACAAUAAUGAGGUAAUCGAUUUUGAUCUAUUUCUCAUCAUGCAUAAAUCACCGUGUCCUUAAAAUAAAACUUCCAUUCUCGGCAGGAAAUUUGAUCGAGUCACGCGCGUUUUCACUGGUUCUUCGCAAAUAAUUAUUUCUCGCAUGUGCGCAACUGGCGAAUGCGAGCCUAGACAUCUCGGGAUUCAACAGCCACGAUCCAGUUAAAGCCAGUCGGAUCCAACCAGUCUGGCAGAUCACCUGAAACGUCAUGAGAUUCUAAAAAGUGCUCGUUAUCACUUGCCCGCACUUUGUACCAAGGAUAAAAAACCGAAUGCACCUAGGAUAAUCAACGAUUAUUACUAUAAGAUUGCGUAAGAAAAAAGAUCUGCAAUAUUUAGUCUUGAAGAAGCAGAAUUAGAUAACUCUUCAAUUCCUGCCUUUUCUUCUUAGAAGACAAUCCAACGCGCGAGGAAGAUAUGCCAGCAACCUAAUCUGUGCAAUUAUUAAUGCGGAAUGUUGCAAGGUAAGUUUCUGACUUUUCUUUUCUUGGACCAUGUUGUCUUUCGCCGUCUUUUGUUGAAGCUCUUUAAUGGAAAAGGGCGUGGUAGCUUCCGACGACAUACGUCAUAAGAAGUAUAUGGAAUGAGGCCAGACUGCUGCGAAGAAAAUGUUGUAACCGAUCAAUAGAGCAACACGUGGUUCAGACCCGCCGAUGUUUACCAUAGGGAUAAAAUACCUGAAGCCUAAUGAACUGAUUAAGACAAUUGCGAAGAAUAUUAUUUCUCAUUUUCUUCCUCUCGCUCCACAUACACACAUACGCGGUGAACACAUGACUUUACACAAGAACAGAUCUUAAUGAGAAAAUAAUAUUUCAAAGAUGACCAAAAAUCUGCUGCAAUGUAAAGGAGUUUGCCAAAAAAUAAUAUUUGUGGUGUACUCUUAGAGGUAUAUUUAGAUACUUACUGUGCAUAUUUAGAUAUUAACGCACAAAGUUGGUAAUGCAGCGUAAAUGCUGAUAUUAGCAAUUCCAUAAAUAGCGAAUGUGCUCUACCCAUUACCAUCUACUUUUACGUCGUAAACCCUUCCUCACAUCUGCAACAAGUGCCAGCUUGUAUUUAAAUGCUAAUUAUCGUAGCUAAAAAUAAUACUGCAUUUCCUUUUCAUUAU